AUAGUACUCCCUUCGUUCGGAAUUACUUGUCGCAGAAAUGGAUGUAUCUAGACGUAUUUCAGAUCUAGAUACAUUCAUUUCCGAGACAAGUAAUUUCGAACGGAGGGAGUAGUAA
Molecule: non-coding RNA, 115 nt
Organism: Triticum aestivum (bread wheat)
Lineage: Eukaryota; Viridiplantae; Streptophyta; Magnoliopsida; Poales; Poaceae
Source: Rfam